UACGGAGGAUGCAAGCGUUAUCCGGAUUCAUUGGGUUUAAAGGGUGCGCAGGCGGAAUGAUAAGUCAGUGGUGAAAUCUCUCGGCUCAACUGAGAAACUGCCAUUGAUACUGUCGUUCUUGAGUACACUUGGAGUGGGCGGAAUGUGUCAUGUAGCGGUGAAAUGCUUAGAUAUGACACAGAACACCGAUCGCGAAGGCAGCUCACUAAGUUGUAACUGACGCUCAGGCACGAAAGCGUGGGGAUCAAACAGG
RNAcentral lists this ribosomal RNA (253 nucleotides) under uncultured bacterium. RNAcentral describes it as "partial 16S ribosomal RNA". It matches the Rfam family "Bacterial small subunit ribosomal RNA", at positions 524 to 776 of the family's 1533-position model. The record is from RNAcentral.